AGAAUCAACGCUGGCGGCGUGCCUAACACAUGCAAGUCGAACGAGAAAGGGGUAGCAAUACCCUGAGUAAAGUGGCGCACGGGUGAGUAACACGUGACUAACCGUACCCUUGAGUGGGGGAUAACUGAGGGAACCUUAGCUAAUACCGCAUAAUACCCACGGGUCAAAGGAGCAAUUCGCUCGAGGAGGGGUCGCGGCCGAUUAGUUAGUUGGCGGGGUAAUGGCCCACCAAGACGAUGAUCGGUA
RNAcentral lists this ribosomal RNA (246 nucleotides) under uncultured bacterium. RNAcentral's name for it is "partial small subunit ribosomal RNA". It matches the Rfam family "Bacterial small subunit ribosomal RNA", at positions 26 to 285 of the family's 1533-position model. The record is from RNAcentral.